UAAUUUCUACAGACCCAUAGCCGAGUUUAGGGCUCAGGAGACUCAGCUUUCUUCUUUUUCACCGCCAUAGCUUUUUCUUCGAAGUUCCUUCACUGGUGGUGCCGGUGCCAAUCGCGAAGGAAUCUUUUACCAUUUGUAGCCAUUUCGCUAAUCUGAACUUGAUUUCUUCAUAAUUUUCUUUGGAUUUUUCUACCUCCAAUUUGAUAACUUGUUCGGUAAUCCAAACCCUAAAUAUUUCUUCUUGCUAAUUCGCGGCUUCAGCUGUGUCGGCGAUGAUUAUAAGCGGUUGUCGAAUCUGAAAGCUCGUGUCUUGUUUCUUGGAGGUCGAGAGGUUGAUGCGGUAGGAAUUGCAUCAGAAAGUUAACUUCAGUAUGGGGUUUGACAACGAGUGCAUAUUGAAUAUUCAGUCUCUUGCUGGGGAGUAUUUCUGUCCAGUUUGCCGAUUGCUUGUUUAUCCACAUGAAGCGUUGCAGUCACAGUGUACUCACUUGUAUUGCAAGCCUUGUUUAACCUAUGUAGUUAGCACUACCAGGGCUUGCCCAUAUGACGGCUACUUGGUUACAGAAGCUGAUUCUAAGCCACUCAUUGAAUCAAAUAAAACUCUUGCUGAUACCAUCGGCAAAAUAGCCGUUCAUUGCCUGUAUCAUAGGAGUGGAUGCACUUGGCAAGGGCCACUGUCGGAUUGCGUAACUCAUUGUUCUGGAUGUGCAUUCGGCAAUUCCCCCGUCUUAUGCAAUCGAUGUGGAAUUCAGCUUGUACAUCGGCAAGUACAGGAGCAUGCACAAACUUGUCCGGGUGUACAGUCUCAAGCACAGCAAGCAGACGGUGCUCAGGGCACCACAACCAGUGGCACUGCAGCUGCUACUGAUCAGGCUCAGUCUGCUGGAAUGGCGAAGUCUCAAGCCCAAUCUUCGCAGAAUGUAGCAGCUAGUGCUCCUGCACAAGAUACCAAUCAGCAGGCUAACGCAAGUUCUCAGGGUCCGGCUGUUGCUGAAGCUGCUGUGCCGACUUCGGAGCAGUGGUAUCAACAGCAGCAACAACAGUAUCAGCAAUACUAUCAGCAGUAUCCUGGAUAUGAUUCUUAUCAACAGCAGUACCAGCACUACUACCCUUACCAGCAACAAGGAGGUGUUCCGUAUCAGCAGCCACAGCCAUCUCAGGCUCUUCCUUCACACGUGGCUACCCAGCAUCCAUCUCAGGCAUACAUUCAGCCCCAGACUCAGCCACAGCCACAGCCUCAAUCUCAAACCCAAGUUCCAGCCCAUCCCCAACCUCAAUCACAAUCCCAACCCCAACCCCAACCGCAGCCCCAAUCUCUGUCACAGCCUCAACCACCAACUCAGCCACAUGGACAAUCUCAAGUACACAUGCAUGUCCAAACGCCUGUGGUUGGCCAAUCUCAAAACCAGGGACAAGUCAACCCUCAGCAGCAGAUUUAUCAUGCUGCUGCAACUGCGCAUUCUCAGAUCCAACCGCAGGGUCACCCGCCAGCACAUGGCCAAGCACAACCACAACCACAACCUCAACCUCAACCUCAGUCAUAUCCCCAAGUUCAGCCCAAUUCGCAGCAACCUGUACACAUGCCUCAGUAUCAGCAGCCUCAUUCCCAGAUACCACAUUCCCAGGCCCAAAUUCAGCAACAGGUUCAUCCUCCUUUCCAUCCUCCGCACCAUUCUGUUUCUCAGCCACAGUCCCAGUUGCAAGCCCCAGCUCAACACCAUUCUCAGCUUCCUAACCCACAGAUCAAUCAGUCUCUAUCAAUGACACCUAAUGCACAACCCCAAAUGCAGAAUCAACCAACAUAUGCUGCAACAGGCUAUCCUUCUUAUCCCCAGCCACAGCAUCACCAGCAAAUGCAGUUGGGAGUUCCUCAAAAUGUCCUACCGGCGCAUGCGCAAGGUGGGGCUCACCAACAAUCCCAAUCGCUAGUUCAAAUGCAGUCUCAAUUGCCGCAGCCACCUCCCAUGCGCCCACCCCAACCUCCUCUGUACCAAAACCAGCAACAGCCACCGAUGUUGCCGUCCUCCAAUCAGGUACAAAAUGUUUCCGCAGCACAACAACUACAUAUACACUCCCACGCCCAACAGCCUGGAGGCCCUGGACAACCAGCCAGCCAGCGUCCUGUCAUGCCGCUAGUGCAACAGUCUGCAUCCCAGCAAGUUGUGCAUCAACACCAGCAUUUUGGACAGCAAGGGCAGUUUAUACAGAAUCAACUGCAUAUGACUCCCCAAAUGCGUCCACCUGGACCUCCUAAUUCUUUGUCACAACCUAAUCAUGGCUAUGCGCAUUUGCAGCACAACAUCAAUUUACCUCAUGGCAUGCAACACAAUCCUUCUCUAAACACUGAAGGAAGGUCUCUAGUGCCUAACCAAGGAGUACAAUCUAUUCCUUAUUCACAGUCCAUGGUUGGUGUUCCAAUGAGGCCAUUACAGCCUGGUGCUAACCAGCCAACUAUGAAACAGGGACACGUAUUUGGUAAUAAUGGUAACCAGGUGCAGUUGCCAGAUGGAUUUGCUGAACGCAAAUUAGAAAAAGGCCCGGAUGGACGAGACAGUGGAUCAUCUUCUCAAAAGGAUGCCAAAAGAGCUGGAAAUCAUUUGGAUGUGGCAUCGAAUCUGGGGGCAGAUGUUGGUGGGUUAAAGACUGAAAAAUCUUUAGCUAGCUUGAAGGUGCCCGAUGAUAAAGGUAGAUAUGCUAUUGGGGAUAAAUCUAUUCAGGCUGAUGCAUCUACCGAAAGUACUCCACAAAAUGGGGUUACGGACUCUAAUUUGCAUGUAGGUGACAGUGGUAAGGCCAAGCAGGUUGAGGUAAAGGUAGAGGCAACAGAAAGUACUUUUGAUCAUUCGAGCAAUGAUAAAUUGGGAGAAGUCGGUAUUCAGGACCAGAAAGAUCUUAGCACUGAACCGAAGAAAAUGGAGGAUCAUGUUAUUGAGAAUAAAGGAAAUCAGGAAGGUUUUCUUCAGAAGGUUCCAUCACAAGACACUGAACUACGUAGCAAGAGGAUUCCGACUGACACUAGUGGAACUCUUCACCCUUCCUCUGGUGCAGAUGAGGGCCAACAGGGUGCUACUACUACAUCAUCUUUAAUACUUGGUAGUCCUGAUAUGUUGAAUCAGCAUGGCUAUCAAGAUAAAAAUCCGCCUCAAACUGGUGGUACUCAAAUUGGCGCAGCACAGACUUCUCAUCCAGCUUCUCUAGUUGCCCAUACAAGACAUCAGACACCACCGAGUAGUUACGUGUCAUCUUCACUUCAACAAGGUGCGCUAGCACCUUUGUUACAGGCACCUCCUCCAGGACCCUAUCAUCAGGCGCAGGUUUCAAAUAAUCCAUCCAUGCAAGUUAGGCCACGGGCUCCUGGCUUGGGGGCUCAUCCUGGACAACCUUUCAAUCCAUCUGAACCGUUUCCUCCGGGUGGCAUUCCAGAAUCUGGUUCUGCUCCAUCUUUUGGUAGAGGGCCAGGUCACUAUGGUCCUCAGCAAGCUUUGGAGCGAUCCGUUGGUUCCCAAGCAACCUAUAGUCUAAGCCAACCAUCUGCUUCUCAAGGGGGCUCAAAGAUGUCUCUAGGUGAUCCUGUUGGGGCGCACUUCCGUUCAAAGCUUCCUGGGGCUUUCGAUACAAGGGGACAGCUGCAUUCUCAGCGUCCCAUUCAUCCUUCGGAGGCUGAGAUAUUUUCAAAUCAAAGGCCAAGACCUGAUUCUCAUCUUCCUGGGACCAUGGAACAUCGGCCACCACAUCUCACAGGGAUUCCUCCUAGUGUGUUGUCUUUGAAUGGUGCCCCAGGUCUGGACUCCUCUUCCAAACUUGGCUUGAGGGAUGAAAGGUUCAAGCUGAUGCAUGAAGAACAGUUGAACCCUUUCCCGCAAGAUACAGCUCGCCGUCCUAUUAAUCAGACAGAUGCUGAAGAUGUUCUCAGGCAAUUUCCCAGGCCUUCUCAUUUAGAAACUGAUCUUGCUCAGAGAAUUGGAAAUUACUCUUUGAGACCCUUUGACAGAGGAGUGCAUGGCCACAAUUAUGAUACUGGUUUAACCAUUGAUGGUGCUGCUGCUUCAAGAAUCUUGCCUCCUCGUCAUAUGGGUGGUGCAUUACAUCCUACAGAUGCUGAAAGACCAAUUGGUUUUUAUGAAGAUUCUAUUGGACCAGCAGACCGAUCUCGUGGGCAUUCUGACUUCCCUGUACCAGGUAGUUAUGGUCGGCGUUUUGUAGAUGGAUUUGGUCCAAGAAGUCCUCUUCAUGAGUAUCACGGACGUGGGUUUGGAGGUCAUCCUGGGUUUCCAGGUGUGGAGGAAAUUGAUGGUCAAGAAUUUCCUCGUCAUUUUGGUGAUCCACUUUCAUUCCGUGAGUCUAGAUUUCCUAUUUUUCGAAGCCAUCUGCAAAGAGGUGAUUUUGAGGGCCCUGGUAACUUUAGGAUUAGUGAACAUAUGAGAACUGGUGAUUUGAUUGGACAAGAUAGACAUUUUGGACCUCGAAGCAUGCCUGGGCAUUUACGUUUGGGUGAGCCAUCUGCUUUUGGCUCACAUCCCGGUCAUUCACGAAUAGGAGAUCUGUCUGUGCUUGGUAACUUUGAGCCAUUUGGUGGGGGGCAUAGGACAAAUCAUCCACGACUUGGCGAACCUGGGUUUAGAAGCAGUUUUUCUCGUCAGGGGCUUGCAGAGGAUGGUAGAUUUUUUGCAGGAGACGUUGAAUCUUUUGAUAACUCAAGGAAGCGGAAACCAACCAGCACGGGAUGGUGUAGGAUUUGUAAAGUUGAUUGUGAAACAGUUGAAGGCUUGGAGCUGCAUUCACAGACUAGAGAGCACCAGAAGAUGGCUAUGGAUAUGGUGCAGAGCAUCAAACAAAAUGCAAAGAAACAUAAAAUCACUCCAAAUGAUCAUUCCUCCGAAGAUGGCAAGUCAAAGAAUGUUGGUCAUGAGAGCCGUGGGAAAAAACAUUAAACUUGCAACUCUUCUCAUCACACUCAUGGACUACGUUUUACUGGGGCCAAUUUUGUUUCCCUGGUCUUGUUGCAUCUAGUGAUAUAGAUAUUUCAAUUCAACCUGUACUUUUCUGGGCGAAGAAGUCUACCAAAAUGCUGAAAGUUCAGUGGAAAGGUUAUCAAGUCAUCUUUGUUUGAGGUGGUAAGAACGUGUUUGAUGUAAAGAUGCAUUAGUUGCAAAUUUCUUUGCUAUGUUUCUAUUUAUUAACCUUACACUGUUGCUUAAAUUCUCUUUCUUGCACUAUUGACUCUUCUUUCACAGUAAUGUCAUAAAGUUUAGGUUCCAGCCA
Non-coding RNA from Cucurbita pepo subsp. pepo (vegetable marrow), 5262 nucleotides. NCBI's taxonomy places the organism in Eukaryota, Viridiplantae, Streptophyta, Magnoliopsida, Cucurbitales, Cucurbitaceae. The record is from RefSeq and is a predicted model, not a curated record.